Molecule: ribosomal RNA, 379 nt
Filed under: uncultured cyanobacterium
Lineage: Bacteria; Bacillati; Cyanobacteriota
Description: bacterial SSU rRNA
Rfam family: Bacterial small subunit ribosomal RNA
Source: RNAcentral
CGAAAGCCUGACGGAGCAACGCCGCGUGGGGGAAGAAGGUUCUUGGAUUGUAAACCCCUUUUCUCAGGGAAGAAGAUCUGACGGUACCUGAGGAAUCAGCCUCGGCUAACUCCGUGCCAGCAGCCGCGGUAAUACGGAGGAGGCAAGCGUUAUCCGGAAUUACUGGGCGUAAAGCGUCCGUAGGGGGCUCGUCAAGUCUGCUGUCAAAGGUCGGAGCUCAACUCCGGUUCGGCAGUGGAAACUGGUGGGCUAGAGGGCGACAGGGGUAGAGGGAAUUCCCAGUGUAGCGGUGAAAUGCGUAGAGAUCGGGAAGAACAUCGGUGGCGAAAGCGCUCUACUGGACGGCAACUGACACUCAGGGACGAAAGCUAGGGGAGCG